CAAUACUUAGUGGCAGACGGGUGAGUAACAUGUAGGUAUCUGCCCUUUGGCCUGGAAUAACACGAGGAAACUUGUGCUAAUACCGGAUAAGUCUUUACGGAGAAAGCUUUAUGCACCAUUGGAUGAGCCUGCACUUGAUUAGUUUGUUGGUGGGGUAAUGGUCUACCAAGACUGUGAUCAAUAGCUGAUUUGAGAGGAUGAUCAGCCACAUUGGGACUGAGACACGGCCCAAACUCCUACGGGAGGCAGCAGUGGGGAAUCUUGCACAAUGGAGGAAACUCUGAUGCAGCGAUGCCGCGUGAGUGAAGAAGGCCCUUGGGUUGUAAAGCUCUUUCGUCGGGGAAGAAAAUGACUGUACCCGAAUAAGAAGGUCCGGCUAACUUCGUGCCAGCAGCCGCGGUAAUACGAAGGGACCUAGCGUAGUUCGGAAUUACUGGGCUUAAAGAGUUCGUAGGUGGUUGAAAAAGUUAGUGGUGAAAUCCCAGAGCUUAACUCUGGAACUGCCAUUAAAACUUUUCAGCUAGAGUAUGAUAGAGGAAAGCAGAAUUUCUAGUGUAGAGGUGGAAUUCGUAGAUAUUAGAAAGAAUACCAAUUGCGAAGGCAGCUUUCUGGAUCAUUACUGACACUGAGGAACGAAAGCAUGGGUAGCGAAGAGGAUUAGAUACCCUCGUAGUCCAUGCCGUAAACGAUGUGUGUUAGACGUUGGAAAUUUAUUCUCAGUGUCGCAGGGAAACCGAUAAACACACCGCCUGGGGAGUACGAC
RNAcentral lists this ribosomal RNA (763 nucleotides) under uncultured marine bacterium. Its description in RNAcentral is "bacterial SSU rRNA". It matches the Rfam family "Bacterial small subunit ribosomal RNA", at positions 86 to 886 of the family's 1533-position model. The record is from RNAcentral.